UGCAAGGAUUGUAUGUCAAGUUAGACUCUUGCCAUCUCAAAUCACCUACAUUUCAUGCUGUGGCUGCAUGUACCAUAAGCAGGUAUUACAUUAAACUCACCUUUAAACUGCUUUAAUCAUAGAUGUAUGAAAAUACCUUGCUUUUCCCCCACUUUUGAAUACAUUUCAGGGAAAACUAAAGUGGUUAUAAAACUGUUUCCCACACAGAUAUUCCUAAACAUGUGCAAAAAUGCUCACUGUUGUUUAAAUGGUUGUGAAAAUAACUUGAAUAUUUAAUGCAUCCAAAACAACACUGGCUGAGAAGUUACUAAUGUUGCAAGACUAGAAUGAAAAGUAUGAUAAAUGCAUGGACAGUUAUUGUACAGAUUCUUUGCAGAGAACCUUUGCAUGUAUUUCUUAAUCAUGAACCUGGGACACAGCACUGUAUUUCUUUCAUUAGAUUGUCCUCUUAGGUGGCUUAUAUUUUGGGGAUUUGUCUCACAAUAUUGAGACCUCUAAGAGAAGUAUCUUCAAAUUCAGCAAGGGAGGCAAAUGGCCUACAGGCAUAGGUGAAGGAAGAAAUAAAAUGGUGAACAAAAGAACAAGGAACUAGGAGAGGCCAGGGCUGGUUUUGGUGAUGAAGUCCUCAUCACUGUUACCUGGGAAGGACAACAGUGCUCUUAGACCUCUUUACACACCUGUCUUUGACAGUCAUAGACCACAGAGAAACAAUAUCUUGUGUUCUAGAGAAAGCUCCCUCGCGCCUUUCUUUAAACUAUCCAAUUCAACAAGCUCUCAAUCUUAUCCGAGAACUGACAGUUAGAAUAAAAAUAUUUCAUUGCUUUGUUUCCUCUUCUGAGGAUAUAAUCAAAUUGCCAUCUUUCCCCUUGCUUUUCAUUGCCCUUUGCUGAAACAUACUGUCUGUGUAUAUUAAUAUUACUAACUUCCACAGGAAAAUUAAGAAGCUGAUAGAGAAAAAGGGUUCCACCACCAAAGCCUCGGAGUGGUCAAACUGAUCAAAAGAGGGACAUGAAGGCUCAGUAUUAUCAAAAAAGGGACACGAAGCCUCAGUAUUUAGUUUUGUUUUUGGUCUCUAUGGAAAUUACAAUGACCUAUGAAUUUACUAUCUAUGGUCCUAAAUUGAAUUUCUGGUAAAGACAGAUAUAUGUAUCAUAUAUUAAAAUGUUAAUAGUCCUGAAGGAAUUUUUAGCUAAUAUUAGNAAAAUGUUUCAUCUCUCUUCAAUUAUCUGUUCAUCUAUUUAUAAAUUUCUCUUGUAUACUCAGCACUGGCUCAAGGGCCAUGGGGGUACCACCAGGUAGACUUGUUCUCUGUCUUUCAUCAAUUACAAUAUAUUUGGAGAAAAAAUUAGAACAAUAGAGAAAAAAUUCAGGGGUACUAUAUUGCAGCAGAAAUUGCUACUGAAAGUUAUAGUAUUAAAAAACAUUCCAGUUUCUUGCUGAAAGUCCCCAGGGGGCAGGGGGAUUGCUAAUUGCCAUGAUUUCAGAUGGGAAAGCAGGAAUACAGACAUGAUGGUAACAAACACCUGGGGACAGUUAAGAGCCAGUGGUGGCCAUAGAGAAGGGCCAUCUUGGGGAGCAAUAUCAUAUCUUUGAACUAUGUGGCAGAACUUCAUUGUUAUGUAUUCUUCACUGAAUAGGUCAUAUAUUUUUUGACAACGAAUAUUCUCAUCAACUCCCUUGCCAUGCCUUACCACCCCUAGCUUGUUAGUGGAGAAAAAUUUACUCCUUAGGAAAUGAUUCCACUAUAACUGAAGCCAAUCUGCACAUCCAAAGUUCAAAAUCCACCAAAUAGACAUGUCAGGAGCAUUUGGUGGAUUGGAUAGAGUAUCAAUAUCUUAUUUUAACUCUUCCUCUAACCCUCAAGGAUUAGAGCCUCCAUCUCAAUGUCAGUAGCACUAAAAUCCUUUCAACAUUGAUCUAUGUACCCACUUGUCUGGUAUUACAAUUAAAAUGAUGUUUUAGUUUUUCUUCUCAAUGGGAUUGAAUGUUUUAAGGACCGGAGUAGGUCUGACAUAACACUAAAUUGUAGAUGCUAAAAUCAGGUUGAAUUUAAUGGAUUUAUAGGACCAUAAUUUGUUUUUCUUUUUUUUUCACUUUUGUUGUUGUUGGAGGAUGGUGAAAUUCUCACCUCUCGAGGUAAUCUGGGUAGGGUGGGGGUCAUCAUUUCACAAAUGCCUGGUUGAUACUACCAUGUAUUUACUGAUCUAUUUCAUUUAAAGUUUUCCUCUGAUGGCCUUGACUGUGCCCUAACAAAGCUGUUAAAACUGGUCCGGGAGUUCCUGUCAUGGCUCAGCAAUAACGAACCUGACCAGUAUGAGGACACGGGUUCCCUCACUGGCCUCGCUUUGUGGGUUAAGGAUCCAGCAUUGCCAUGAGCUGUGAUGAAGGUCAGACUCAUCUCAGAUGCCGUGUUUUUGUGGCUGUGGUGUAGGCUGGUGACUACAACUCCAAUUCGAGCCAUAGCCUGGGAACUUCCAUACGUUGUGGGUGCCACCCUAAAAAGACAAAAAUAAUUAAAAUAAAAAAUUAAAUAAAGCUAGUCUGGGGAGGCCAUCUUCGUUCCUUUGGGUCUCCAACAAAGGGCAGGAAAGAUGAUAAUGAUCUCUUCCUAUCACAAGAAAAAAAAAAUCAAAGCAAGAAAGCAAUGGUUGAUUACGCUUAAUGCUUUUAUAGAUUUUCCUCCUUUCAGUCCCUCCGUCAUCUUCUGAUCUGUUGUUUAGAUACACCCUUUGAAGCAGCCUGUGCAUGGACACAUGUGAAGUUACCUUGUGCCUCCUUCAAUAUUGUUAUGAUAAAUAUUUCAUUUUUCCCUAGCUUCAAAUUCCUCUUGACAUAGAAAGGUUUUUCCUUUUCCUGAGUCAUGGUAUUGUUAUGGAUUCCACAAACAUUUAUAUCUACUCUUCCUCAUCUCUUCGUCUAGGGGUAAAGAAACCCAGCUUGUAUCUCAGCUGUUAGGAACCCCAGUGGCCACAGACUAGCUUUCUACACUUGGAAGUUCAUCAGGUGUAAAAUGGAAGGUUUUCCCCUUUCUUCCCCUUCAAACAUUUCUUUGGCCAUAUCUCCAGAGAUUAGGUGAAAAUCUUGCUACCCCUCACAAGAAGCAAUGUUACUUUUACAUGUCAGUAUAGAGAGGUGGUGUGUGCCUCCUGGGCAUUUGGAAAAUGCAAUAACACAAGGCUGUGAGGUGAAGGGCAUAGAAAACCCUGAUCAGGCCAAUUCCUUGUUUUAUUAGCAUGUGUCCUUUUGCAGCAGGAGCAUUCCACUGCCUGCUCCUUUUUGCAGUAUGAAAGAGAUAGAGGAUGCUCCCCAGUCAUACUUAGCAAAGCCAGACAGCCAUCAAAAACAGUUCCAGCUACAACCUCAGGGGAUCAAGGUUGUUGCAUUUGCCCACUGCAAUAUAACACAAUGUCUCCUUUAACUUCAGUAGUCUUGGAUGCCGAGAUUUAUGUGAACCAUGAACCACGGGAAGAUUUGAAUAUUUAUUGUCAACUAGGGGUGACUCAAAAAUGCACUCUUUUACAUCUGUGGACGUAUCAAUAUAAGAAAAUAAAUUUGAAAAAAGGAGAAAUAAAAUAUGUAGGUACUUGAAGAAAAGGAAUAUAAUUUUAGUGACAUUGUUGCUAUUCCACUGUUCACCUCAAGACUUGACUGACAGAUAAAACAGUCUUGUGUCAAUUUGAAGUGGCUUCUCAUCUCUGAAACUUUCCCUUUGCAGUGAAAUCCCUGGCAGGUCCCUUCAGCUGCCUCAGUGGGAAAGAAGCAAGCAAGAUUACAGACAGGCAGGAAUACCUCCUUUUCCUUCAGCCCUUCACUUUGGUUGUUUUACUUUUCUCUUGUUCUCUCUCUCUUUUUUUUUUUCUUGACUACUAAGGUAUAUUUAGUUUCUUAAAAUUUUUUCAAAUGAUCCUAUUACACAAAUCUGUUUAUAUAAAGGAAAGAAUACUUGAGAGAAGGUUAGACACCAAGAAGGUAACUUUUCUUUAGCAUAAAUGAUGUCCUUGUUGUAAAUAGAACUUAUUUUGAUAUUUGUGCUUAUUUUUAUGACCAUAAAAUGUUUUCCUAGAACAUAAGGCUCUGAAGAGAAUGUUAAGUUGUUAUUUUGAAUAUUACCUGGCCAAAUGGCAUCUUAGAAACUUCUACCUAAGAGGCAUUUAUGGUGAUAGUAUUACAAGGGGGAAAAAAAGUUGGAUGCUAAGGAACUAGCUUUGAAGCUGAAAGAUGCAUGGGACAUACAUUAUUUUUCUUAGAUUCUGGUUUUAAAGGAAUGGUUUGGAUGUAGAUCUAAUAGAAAAUCAAAAUAAAGUCACUGGAAAGAGCGAAGUCUUGCCAGAUCCCUUUCCAUAGUUUACAUGUAUUUCAAAAAUUCACCAAAGAAUGGGCACAAUUGGUGUCUUAGGGUAUGACAUUUAUGUCCAACUAACAUUUAGGACAAGCUUACUAUUUUUUAAUUAAGAAUUUGGCAUAUAUUAAGGAAUCAGUGAAAGCUAAAUGGUUUUAUUAAAACUACCUUAUUAGAAAUAAAUGAGAACAAAUUAGUUCUCCUGAACUGAUCCCACAGGCUCUACACACCACUUCAUAGAUGCCCCAAACAGUGUUUUGAGGCCAACUGCAUAGUCUUUGCUACAGUGGCUUCAGAAGUAGAGUCUUGAAGUUCUCAUGUGGCAAAGUGGGUUAAGAAUCCAGCAUUGUCACUGUAGCAACUAGGGUUGCGGCUUUGGCAAGGGUUCACUCCCUGGCAAGGGAACUGCCACAUGCUGUGAGCACAAGCAAAUGGUGGUGGGGGGGGUGUAUAGUCUUUUUUUUUUUGCCACAAUUGAGGUAUGUGGAAUUUCCCAGACCAGGAUUCGAACCUAUGCCACAGCAGUGACCCAAGCCACCAGAGUGAAUGCCGAAUUCUUAACCUUGAGGCCACCAGUGAGCUCCAAAAGAACAGUCUCUAAAAGUCCAAACUCCUUUUCUCACGAGGAAAAUGUCCUAGAAAAAAAAUUGUGGGUCUUCUCUAGAAUGUCAUUAAAAGAUACUGGCAAAUAACAGAGUGCCAGUACAAAUUCCACCUGGUGAACUUAAUUAAAUAUUGGGAAACUCAGUGUGCUUUUUUUCUUAUUCCUUUUUCAUCAUUGCAAUUCACACAGCUCACAUUUCACUCCUGAGAACUGCUGGCCAGGCUCAUUUGCUUGUCCUGCUGUACUGCUUUUUUGAUCCCUAACAUAGGAAACUACUUACUGUACAUAAUAAAACUAUAGCAUCUUCCUGGCUUUAUCUCAUUAAUCUUCUUGACUAAACAAAACCAAUUUGUCUUCUUGCUUCACCUUUAUCCUUCAAUUAAGAACUUGUUUUCUUACCUUCGGCUCUUUUCCUUCAGUUCACCUCCAGUUGAGUCAACUGUCAUUCUUCAUCUCCAAUAAGUUCUUUGGGUCACUGCCAUCAGUUGUAUAGUUGAAGGACUGAGUUCUUAACCUUUUAACUGACAAAGAAAAGGCCAGACUCUUGUUUUUGAUUUAGCAGAAGUUGCUGUUGCCUUGCUAGAUUAUUAAUACUAAUAUUUACCCUUAUUAAAAAUAACUAUUUAGGAGUUCCCAUCGUGGCACAGUGGUUAACGAAUCCUGACUAGGAACCUUGAGGUUGCGGGUUUGAUCCCUGGCCUUGCUCAGUGGGUUAAGGAUCCGGCGUUGCCGUGAACUGUGGUGUGGGUUGCAGACAAGGCUCGGAUCCCGCGUUGCUGUGGCUCUGGCGUAAGCUGUGGCUCUGGCGUAGGCUGGCAGCUACAGCUCCGAUUAGACCCCUAGCCUGGGAAUCUCCAUAUGCCGCAGGAGCAGCCCAAGAAAUGGCAAAAAAUAAUAAUAAUAGUAAUAACUAUUUAAUUCUGUAUAUGAGAAUGGAACUAAAAAAUUCCUUUCAUGAGUUUCCCUUGCUUCCAGGCAAUAUUUGAUCCUGUAGACAAAAAGAUGAAAUUGUAAAAAUGCCAGAAAUCUAGGAGACAGAUAUCACAGAAAAAUCCUGAGAGUCAAUAAAGUUGGGCAAUCCUAUUCCUUUUUCAAUUCUUUACAUCACCCCAUGAGAAAGCAAAGACUUACAACUUUUCUUUUUUUUAUUAAAGUAUAAUUGAUUAAUAGUAUUGUGUCAAUUUCUGCUGUACAGCAAAGUGAUCCAGUCAAAUGUAUAUAUAUAUAUAUAUAUAUAUAUAUACAUUCUUUUUCUCAUGCUAUCUUCCAUCAUGUUUUAUCCCAAAAGAGUGGAUAUAGCUCACUGUGCUAUACAACAGGACUUCAUUGUUUAUCCAUUCUAAAUGUAAUAGCUUGCAUCUACUAACCUCAAACUCCCUGUCCAUCCCACUCCCCCCCCUCCCCCUUGGCAAUGAUGUCACUUAUAUGUGGAAUCUAAAAAAUGGCACAAAUCUAUCUACGAAAUAGAGAAAAACUCACAGACAUAGAGCAUUAUGACCUUUCUUGAUUAUUGUUCAUGUUCUAGGCUCAUGUUUGUUUUGAAGGGAAAAGCAGAGAGCUGGCUCCUUUAUGGAAAGCUUUUGUUUUAUCCACUGCAUCUCUUCUUGCAUUUAUCCGCUCCUGUACAAUUUUAACCCUGAGAACAAGACCGAAGACAUCCUUAGGAAAAUCACAGUCAUUAUUUUCUCUAACCACUUAUCUUUUCCCUCCUAUGCCCUAAUCUGGUCAUAAUUGGCUUGAGGUGACAUUUACUUUAAAAUGGAGAAAUGAGAAAUAAUGUUUGCAAGAAUGCUAGACCCCAAAAACAGCAAAUAAAAUAGUGUUAAAAAAAAUAAACCAGGAGUUCCCGUCGUGGCGCAGUGGUUAACGAAUCCGACUAGGAACCAUGAGGUUGUGGGUUCGGUCCCUGCCCUUGCUCAGUGGGUUAACGAUCCGGUGUUGCCGUGAGCUGUGGUGUAGGUUGCAGACGCGGCUCGGAUCCCGCGUUGCUGUGGCUCUGGUGUAGGCCGGUGGCUACAGCUCCGAUUCAACCCCUAGCCUGGGAACCUCCAUAUGCCGCGAGAGCGGCCCAAAGAAAUAGC
This 7024-nucleotide long non-coding RNA is filed under the name Sus scrofa (pig). Its description in RNAcentral is "lncRNA (ENSSSCG00015001201.1)". The record is from RNAcentral. Lineage: Eukaryota; Metazoa; Chordata; Mammalia; Artiodactyla; Suidae.